CCAGCAGCCGCGGUAAUUCCAGCUCCAAUAGCGUAUAUUAAAGUUGUUGCAGUUAAAAAGCUCGUAGUUGAAUUUUGGGCUCAGCUGAGUGGUCUAGCCUAACGGUUAGUACUGCUUCGGUUGGGCCUUUCCUUCUGGCUAGCCAGUGUGCUCUUAAUUGGGUGCGCUGGGGAACCAGGACUUUUACUGUGAAAAAAUUAGAGUGUUUAAAGCAGGCUUACGCUUGAAUACAUUAGCAUGGAAUAAUAGAAUAGGACUUUGGUUCUAUUUUGUUGGUUUCUAGGACCGAAGUAAUGAUUAAUAGGGAUAGUUGGGGGCAUUAGUAUUUAAUUGUCAGAGGUGAAAUUCUUGGAUUUAUGAAAGACUAACUUCUGCGAAAGCAUUUGCCAAGGAUGUUUUCAUCAAUCAAGAACGAAAGU
RNAcentral lists this ribosomal RNA (419 nucleotides) under uncultured eukaryote. RNAcentral's name for it is "SSU rRNA". It matches the Rfam family "Eukaryotic small subunit ribosomal RNA", at positions 567 to 990 of the family's 1831-position model. The record is from RNAcentral.